Molecule: long non-coding RNA, 216 nt
Filed under: Elaeis guineensis (African oil palm)
Lineage: Eukaryota; Viridiplantae; Streptophyta; Magnoliopsida; Arecales; Arecaceae
Description: long non-coding RNA (EGUI_LNC015239)
Source: RNAcentral
UUUGUCGAUACACAUCCAUCUUUAUUUGAGCUUGUUGUUGAAUCUCUGGAAGCAAGUCCAAGUCAGCCCUUUGGUAGUCAGAAUUAUUUGGCUCUGCAUACCGUUCGACCCUCAUCGAUGGUAGUCCAAUCUUCAAUAGGAUCACUCUUCUAUUCCAUAUGCAAGGUUGAAUGGUGACUCUCCUAUUGAGAUACGAAAAGUCAUUCGAUAAGCCUA